Hemicordylus capensis (graceful crag lizard) is the source of this 3310-nucleotide long non-coding RNA. RefSeq lists it as uncharacterized. The transcript has 3 exons. The record is from RefSeq and is a predicted model, not a curated record. NCBI's taxonomy places the organism in Eukaryota, Metazoa, Chordata, Lepidosauria, Squamata, Cordylidae.
AUUAGGAGGCGGAGGCGCUUGGCGCGCGGACUGGAGAGGGGACUCCGCGCUGGCCCUGCUGGCUGGGGCGCCCCCGCCUUCCCCGCCAGGACCCGCGUGAAUCCGAGUGGAGCGUCGAUCUCUGCGGACAGAAGCCGGGAGGCUGCCCCGGAGGAGGCUCGUGCAGCUGCCGUUCGCGGGUCCGGUCCUGGGCAUGUGACCUGCUGACUCACAGAUACCUCAUUUUACAUACACAAUCCUGCCACUGAAAUGAGCUGCACACACUCCUUUUGAGAGCAGAAAAGGUACUAGGGGAAAUAUGCUUGGGACAUGUCCAGAGGAGGUUGGGAUUUUUAAAAGCACAAAUACUGAAUUAAUCCUUUUCACUUUGCAAUGCCACAAACAACAAGCGAGAACAAACUUGGUUACUUUAGAAGCCAAGGCAAGGCCUUUCUGUUCACUCAAACUUUUAAAAUGGGGGCAGCAUAUUUAAAAUGUAUCUUAUUUUGUGUUGUAACUUGCUUGUCAUGUUUGAUGUCUCUUGAACGUUGCUGUGAGCUGCGUAGAGAAUAAUUUAUUUUAUUUAUUUUUUUACAUUUUAUAUCCCGCUCUUCCUCUAAGGAGCCCAGAGCGGUGUACUACAUACUUAGGUUUCUCCUCACAACAACCCUGUGAGGUAGGUGUGAGGCUGAGAGAGAAGUGACUGGCCCAGAGUCACCCAGCUAGUAUUAUGGCUGGAUGAGGAUUUGAACUCUGGUCUCCCCAGUCCUAGUCCAGCACUCUAACCACAACACCACGCUGGCAUGGGGCAGCUAACCAAGUUUGUUGUUGUUGUUUGUCCUUUGUGAAAUAAAAUCAUGUGACCUGCUGACUCACAGAUACCUCGUUUUACAUACACAAUCCUGCCACUGAAAUGAGCUGCACACACUCCUUUUGAGAGCAGAAAAGGGAUUUUAAACACUCAAGGAUACAUCCAAAAAAAAAGAAAGCAGAAGAAAGAAAACAGAAGAAAGCAGAAGAUCCAUUCAGAUUCAAAUGUACUGUGAUUCAAGCUUACCAUAUAUGGCCAUUAGACAAUUAAAUGGCUACUGUUUUAAUUGAAAUCCUUCAAGUUGCAAAUGAAAUUACUUCCAAGUGAAAUUCUAAAACAGAAAUCCCCAUUUCCACUGUGGGUACUUUGAGGUUUAGUAGGAUUCCCGUUCUGGCUGAAGCUCUUUCCACUCUCUGAGCACGUAUAUGGUUUCUACACAGUGUGGGUUCUUUGAUGCCAAUUAAGAUUUCCACUCCUGCUGAAGCUCUUUCCACACUCCAAGCAUUUAAAAGGUUUCUCUCCAGCGUGAGUCAUUUGAUGUAAAUUGAGGUAGUCACUCCCACUAAACCACACUCCAAGCAUUUAUAUGGUUGCUUCCCUGCGUCCAUUUUGCACUGAGGCUGAAAGCUUGGUUCAGAACUGAAGUUUUUCCUACUUGCAGGGCAGGGACUUCUUUCCCUCUUGUUUUUUGGAUUCUGGUUUUAUAGAUGUCACCCAGCUGGGAAGCAGAAGGUCUCUCCUUGUUCUUCUCUUUUGCUGCAGGUUUUGCUUCUCUGUUCUCUCUUUUUCCGUCUGAACAAAUUUCUGAACCAUCCGUGUGAACCAUUUCUUUCUUGAUGUGUUUUCCCUUUGGGGGGAAAGGAGACUGUGCUGGUUUUAACAUAUCAUGCACAAUUUUAUAGGUGCUUUCCUAUGCUUAGGAAGAGAUAUCUCAUUUUUUAUCCUCACAAUAUCCCUGUGAGGCGGGCCAGGCUAGGGGAGAGAUGGGAUGGCUUCACUGUGGCAUGAUAGAGAAGAUCACUGAAGCACUUCUCAUUCCCUGCGAAAUGAGGGGAAAGAGGCACCUUUGAAAGUGGCGAUUCUCUGACAUUUAGUAGGGAGAGCCACUGGCCCUAUCCGUCCCCAGCACAGCCUCCCUCCAAUGGCUCUUUCUUUUCAGGUGUUGGAAAUAAUUUGCACACAGGCUGACCAGCUCUCCAGUGGCUUCAGCCAUAAUAGCCCCCCUGUCCUGCCCUACAAGUCAGAAGAAGCCAGGGAGCCAAGGGGGGCCUGGAGCCAGGCCUGCUCUUGGUUUCAGCAACAACAAGCCACGUGGAGGGCUCUGGGGAUGCUGCCCCCCCUUCCCCCUGCCUCUUUCAAGACUGUAAGCCCCUUUGGGGCAGGGAACCAUCUUCAGGCCCUCUGGUGGUGCCCUUUGGUGGAACCAUCCCUGCUAACUGGGCCAAGAAGAGGCACCUUUGCAAGUGGGCUUACCGUAUAUGGCCAUUAUAAAAUAAAAUGGCUAACUGAAAUCCUUCAAACUGCAAAUGGUUCCUUUACUUCCAAUUGAAAUUCUAAAACAGAAAUCCCCAUUCCUUCACUAUUUCCACUGUGGGUACUUUGAGGUUUAGUAGGAUUCCCGUUGUGGCUGGAGCUCUUUCUAUCCUCUGAACACAUAUAUGGUUUCUACACAGUGCGGGUUCUUUGAUGCUGAUUUUAAGAUUUCCACUGGUGCUGAAGCUCUUUCCACACUCCAAGCAUUUAUGGGGUUUCCCCCUUGUGUUCAUUUCCCACUGUGAUUGAAAGCUUGGUUCGGAACGGAAGAUUUUGCUAUUCUCAGGGCAGGGACUUCUUUCCCCUGAUAUUUUUCAGAUUAUUGUUUUAUAGAUGCCACCCUGCUGGGAAGCAGAAGGUCCCUUCUUGUUCUUCUCCACUGCUUAAGGUUUUCCUUCUGUUGUUCCCUCUUUUUCAGUCUGAUCCCUCUGCACAGUCAUGGGUGGGGCCUUCCCUCCUCCUCACUCUCCUAGCCGUCACCUGCUGAAACAAAGAGAGAGAACCGGUCAGAGCCUGAGACAGGAAAGGCCUUCCCUUCUCAAAUGGCAGCACAGAGGGACUGCUCUGAUCACAGAAGAACCACGAAGCCGCCCUGCUCUGGGUGACUGAGUCCUGGGGAGAGACAGCAGGCAGAGCCCUUGCUGUGUCCCUCUAAGGUCUCAAGCCAGCAGCAACCUGGCCUGCUCCCAAGGGUUUCUGCCCGCCUGACAAGAUCAUCGGAGGGGGCUCUGCUCCGUGUGCCAACAGUGAGAGAGAUUCGGUUGCCAAGUACGUGGGACGGGGCCUUCUCAGUCAUGGCCCCCAGGCUUUGGAGUGCUUUCCCGGUUGGCGUCUGCUCCUCCUCAACAGUUUUUAGGGACAGAGUAACUGGGCUCUUCACCUGGGCUUUUGAAUGAAAAGUAUUGUUUGACUACUGCCACUUUGUGUUUUAUGUAUUAUUGUUUUUUAAUGGAUCAUUAAAUGUUAUUUAUAUUCUUUUUCUAUCUA